GUGGCUGUAGCUCAGUGACAGAGUGCUUGCCUAGCAUGCGUGAGGCACUGGGUUUGAUCCUCAGCACCACA
This 71-nucleotide transfer RNA is filed under the name Marmota marmota marmota (Alpine marmot). It matches the Rfam family "tRNA". Rfam says of the family: Transfer RNA (tRNA) molecules are approximately 80 nucleotides in length. Their secondary structure includes four short double-helical elements and three loops (D, anti-codon, and T loops). RNAcentral also lists the same sequence under 1 other name. The record is from Rfam by way of RNAcentral. Lineage: Eukaryota; Metazoa; Chordata; Mammalia; Rodentia; Sciuridae.